GGCUGACAAGAAGCAGCAGCGACGGAGAGAUAAAAAAGACAGCCUCGACAGCCUCGGAUUGAAAACUACUUUUCCAUAGAAAGUUCACUACCUUGUCAGCUGUCUUCAGAACCAACAGCAUCAGCUUUUGCAGCUGUGUCAAGUACUUACAGGCCACGAUAGAGGACCGCUUCUGUGCAGAAGCCUGCGCACUCCAACGGCUUUAAUAGUUGAAUGUGUGACGCAAUCCUCCCUCUCCACAGCGAGAACAAAAGACAGAAAAAAAUGCUUUGCUCGAUUGUUUUUUCAGGGAUCCAAGUGCCUUUUCUCGGCGACGAGCUCCGCUCAUAGAGGGCCCUCUGGGCGCGGUAUGAUGAGAAGGAUGGCAUGCUGCACCCAAAGGCCUUCUGGCCCACCUUGCCAUUUACUCCUUGUGUUCAAUAACGAUGCUGCUGACGUGAUGAUCGAAUACACUGGGAAGAGGCAUGAGAAUUGAAAACUGCGGCAGACACCGGUGCUCGGGUUGGGAGAGGGGGCUGAAAGCCUUUCUGGACACGACAUUCCUCACGCUCGAGAUAAGAAGCACGCCGUUGAGAGAGCGACUCUAUGUGCUAUGGCCAGCCGGCACAGAUCGACCUCGGCGAUCCUUCCUGCGCUCGAGAAGCGUGCUCAUGGUUUAGGUGUAACGCCGAUAUGCUCAUAGCGUAUUGCUUUUACGACUUCAUGAUAAGGGAGAACACCCCAACGCGCCAUCCUUGUCCACCAUCCACUCUGCGAGGAAGCCAGGCUGCCGUCCUCUCCCUGCUAGCGCCGAACCACUUCUGGUGGUGUCAGGGCCAGGUGCUUACGACGUACAAAGGUGAGGGCGAUUUGCCGCUACCGAUGUGGGCGGCCAGGUCCCCUGGAUGGCGCUGCGUCGGAGCGGCCGGUGACAACGAACGCGUAUCAUCCCCCUGAUGGGCAGAGUGUCAGCUUCACUCGAGUGUAUCCCAGCUGGUCCUCACUGCCCAUGGGUGGGGGCCCGAGUGACUUGGAGGGGUGCACCAGGUGGCGGCUGGCAGGGGGGGGGGGCUGUGCGGCGACCUGCGGGGCAGACGGGUAGAGUGUGAGGCAGGGGCCGUGAUCUCAGCUGGCUGGGCCGGCGUAUUGCUGUAAUGUGUGUCUAGGUCUGCUUCGCGCCACGAGAUGGGAUCCUGUGACAGGCCGGGUAGAGUGGAGUUUCACUCUUGUUUUCUCGUAAAAUGGACACAGUGACGGUAAUAUAUUUUUCUCCUCUGCCUUCGCGUGAUGAAUUCAAUGACCUUGCAGGUUGCAAUACCUUGCGUUUGUCGUUACCGCGGAUGCGAAGGUGGUAUCAAGGAACUGCUAAAGUGAGGGUUUUGCUAUUCCAUGUUUCCAAAUUACUGAGAUUAGGCUACUCACACUGCG
This 1407-nucleotide unclassified non-coding RNA is filed under the name Leishmania donovani. Its description in RNAcentral is "gene:unknown". The record is from RNAcentral. Lineage: Eukaryota; Euglenozoa; Kinetoplastea; Trypanosomatida; Trypanosomatidae.